AGUGAACGCUGGCGGUAGGCCUAACACAUGCAAGUCGAACGGCAGCACAGAGGAGCUUGCUCCUUGGGUGGCGAGUGGCGGACGGGUGAGGAAUACAUCGGAAUCUACUCUGUCGUGAGGGAUAAGGUAGGGAAACUUACGCUAAUACCGCAUACGACCUACGGGUGAAAGAAGGGGAUCUUCGGACCUGGCGCGAUGGAAUGAGCCGAUGUCGGAUUAGCUAGUUGCCGGGGUAAAGGCCCACCAAGGCGACGAUCCGUAGCUGGUCUGAGAGGAUGAUCAGCCACACUGGAACUGAGACACGGUCCAGACUCCUACGGGAGGCAGCAGUGGGGAAUAUUGGACAAUGGGCGCAAGCCUGAUCCAGCCAUACCGCGUGGGUGAAGAAGGCCUUCGGGUUGUAAAGCCCUUUUGUUGGGAAAGAAAUCCAUUUGGUUAAUACCCGGAUGGGAUGACGGUACCCAAAGAAUAAGCACCGGCUAACUUCGUGCCAGCCGCCGCAGUAA
This 506-nucleotide ribosomal RNA is filed under the name uncultured bacterium. RNAcentral's name for it is "partial 16S ribosomal RNA". It matches the Rfam family "Bacterial small subunit ribosomal RNA", at positions 29 to 523 of the family's 1533-position model. The record is from RNAcentral.